CAGUCGCGCGGUAAUACAGAGGUCCCGAGCGUUGUUCGGAUUCACUGGGCGUAAAGGGUGUGUAGGAGGUUGGAUAAGUCAGGUGUGAAAUCCCGCAGCUCAACUGCGGAACUGCAUUCGAUACUGUUCAACUAGAGGAUCGGAGGGGGAAGCGGAAUUCUUGGUGUAGCGGUGAAAUGCGUAGAUAUCAAGAAGAACACCGGUGGCGAAGGCGGCUUCCUGGAAGAUACCUGACUCUGAAACACGAAAGCCAGGGGAGCGAAUGGGAUUAGAUACCCCGGUAGUCCCUGUCUCUUAUACA
RNAcentral lists this ribosomal RNA (301 nucleotides) under uncultured bacterium. RNAcentral's name for it is "partial 16S ribosomal RNA". It matches the Rfam family "Bacterial small subunit ribosomal RNA", at positions 509 to 809 of the family's 1533-position model. The record is from RNAcentral.